RNAcentral lists this ribosomal RNA (741 nucleotides) under Babesia caballi. RNAcentral's name for it is "bacterial SSU rRNA". It matches the Rfam family "Eukaryotic small subunit ribosomal RNA", at positions 7 to 849 of the family's 1831-position model. Lineage: Eukaryota; Apicomplexa; Aconoidasida; Piroplasmida; Babesiidae. The record is from RNAcentral.
GUUGAUCCUGCCAGUAGUCAUAUGCUUGUCUUAAAGAUUAAGCCAUGCAUGUCUAAGUACAAGCUUUUUACGGUGAAACUGCGAAUGGCUCAUUACAACAGUUAUAGUUUCUUUGGUAUUCGUUUUCUAUGGAUAACCGUGCUAAUUGUAGGGCUAAUACAAGUUCGAUGCCUUUUGGCGGCGUUUAUUAGCUUUGAAACCUCUUUUUCGGUAUUCAUAAUAAACUUGCGAAUCGCUUUUCAGCGAUGGCCCAUUCAAGUUUCUGACCCAUCAGCUUGACGGUAGGGUAUUGGCCUACCGAGGCAGCAACGGGUAACGGGGAAUUAGGGUUCGAUUCCGGAGAGGGAGCCUGAGAAACGGCUACCACAUCUAAGGAUGCAGCAGGCGCGCAAAUUACCCAAUCCUGACACAGGGAGGUAGUCAGGGAGACCCUACAAUACAGGGCUUUCGUCUUGUAAUUGGAUUUGAUGGCGACUUAAACCCUCGCCAGAGUAACAAUUUGGAGGGCAAGUCUGGUGCCAGCAGCCGCGGUAAUUCCAGCUCCAAUAGCGUAUAUUAAACUUGUUGCAGUUAAGGAGCUCGUAGUUGAAUUUCUGCGUUGCGUUAUUCUUGCUUUUUGCUUGACUUUCGCUUCGCUUUUUUGUUUUACUUUGAGAAAAUUAGAGUGUUUAUCGCAGACUUUUGUCUUGAAUACUUCAGCAUGGAAUAACAUAGUAGGACCUUGGUUCUAUUUUGUUGGUU